UGGGGAAUAUUGCACAAUGGGCGCAAGCCUGAUGCAGCCAUGCCGCGUGUAUGAAGAAGGCCUUCGGGUUGUAAAGCUCUUUCAGGUGGAAAGAAAACGCAUAGGUUAAUACCUUGUGCGGAUGACGGUACCAUCAGAAGAAGCACCGGCUAACUACGUGCCAGCAGCCGCGGUAAUACGUAGGGUGCGAGCGUUAAUCGGAAUUACUGGGCGUAAAGCGUGCGCAGGCGGUUAUGCAAGACAGAGGUGAAAUCCCCGGGCUCAACCUGGGAACUGCCUUUGUGACUGCAUAGCUAGAGUACGGUAGAGGGGGAUGGAAUUCCGCGUGUAGCAGUGAAAUGCGUAGAUAUGCGGAGGAACACCGAUGGCGAAGGCAGCCUCCUGGGCCAGUACUGACGCUCAUGCACGAAAGCGUGGGGAGCAAACA
Molecule: ribosomal RNA, 427 nt
Filed under: uncultured bacterium
Lineage: Bacteria
Description: bacterial SSU rRNA
Rfam family: Bacterial small subunit ribosomal RNA
Source: RNAcentral